AUGAACGCUGGCGGCGUGCCUCAUCCAUGCAAGUCGAGCGAACGGACGAGAAGCUUGCUUUUCUGAUGUUAGCGGCGGACGGGUGAGUAACACGUGGAUAACCUACCUAUAAGACUGGGAUAACUUCGGGAAACCGGAGCUAAUACCGGAUAAUAUUUUGAACCGCAUGGUUCAAAAGUGAAAGACGGUCUUGCUGUCACUUAUAGAUGGAUCCGCGCUGCAUUAGCUAGUUGGUAAGGUAACGGCUUACCAAGGCAACGAUGCAUAGCCGACCUGAGAGGGUGAUCGGCCACACUGGAACUGAGACACGGUCCAGACUCCUACGGGAGGCAGCAGUAGGGAAUCUUCCGCAAUGGGCGAAAGCCUGACGGAGCAACGCCGCGUGAGUGAUGAAGGUCUUCGGAUCGUAAAACUCUGUUAUUAGGGAAGAACAUAUGUGUAAGUAACUGUGCACAUCUUGACGGUACCUAAUCAGAAAGCCACGGCUAACUACGUG
RNAcentral lists this ribosomal RNA (496 nucleotides) under uncultured bacterium. RNAcentral describes it as "partial 16S ribosomal RNA". It matches the Rfam family "Bacterial small subunit ribosomal RNA", at positions 29 to 507 of the family's 1533-position model. The record is from RNAcentral.